GCAAGAAUAGGGAUGGCAAAAUUAAGACGAAUAGCGAAAAAUAUAUGAAGUUUCAGAAGUAUUGUUUUACACUUACAGAAAUAUGUCACCGAGAUAUUUUGUAAGGUUAUGAGUAGUUUCUCAGUGAAGUCUUUUUUUUCUGAUAAUUGACUAUUGACACUUUUUGUUCACUAUGAAGAUAUAUAUAUAUGUAUACGCACACAUGUACUUGUAUUUAUGUCUGUACUUACAUAUAGAUUGUGCAAACCAGAUGGAUUGCCCUCCUGGAAGUUAUUGCUACCAUGGCGUGUGUAAAGAUUUGAUGGAUGAUGAAUUCUGACGUACCGUAAUCAAGUUGAAUAAAGAACCAAGACGAUAGAAGAACACACAAUUUAUACAUUGAUAUUGCUUUACCUUUCGAAUAGUCUCAGCAUGUGUGAUUUUUUAUUGUCGAUGUUAUUUUAGAUUAAAUACAAAAUUCUAUUAACAAUGCAUGAUAUAUAUUUAUUUCAAGGCUAUGUGAAAAACUUCUAAUUCUACCUAAUUCGUUUGUAAUGAAAGUUAAGUGUAAAACAAGAAGUAAUUUUUGAAACUUCGUCGAAAGUUUUGAAAACGGCUGCCAAAUUUAGAAUUCUACCGAGUACAAAUCAAAGUUUUCAACUUCCUAGACGGGGAAGAAUAUUUCCCAUUUUUCAAAGUGGAUGGUCGGAUUCAAAUAUUUUUUACUCUUUCAGGAUUGAUUUUAUUCAAGACAAUCAUGUAGAAAUUUUGUUACUCACGAAGUC
Molecule: non-coding RNA, 764 nt
Organism: Styela clava
Lineage: Eukaryota; Metazoa; Chordata; Ascidiacea; Stolidobranchia; Styelidae
Source: RefSeq, a predicted model, not a curated record